UCACACUAUCAUUAACUGAAUCCAUAGGUUAAUGAGGCGAACCGGGGGAACUGAAACAUCUAAGUACCCCGAGGAAAAGAAAUCAACCGAGAUUCCCCCAGUAGCGGCGAGCGAACGGGGAGGAGCCCAGAGCCUGAAUCAGCAUGUGUGUUAGUGGAAGCGUCUGGAAAGGCGCGCGAUACAGGGUGACAGCCCCGUACACAAAAGCGCACAUGCUGUGAGCUCGAUGAGUAGGGCGGGACACGUGGUAUCCUGUCUGAAUAUGGGGGGACCAUCCUCCAAGGCUAAAUACUCCUGACUGACCGAUAGUGAACCAGUACCGUGAGGGAAAGGCGAAAAGAACCCCGGCGAGGGGAGUGAAAAAGAACCUGAAACCGUGUACGUACAAGCAGUGGGAGCACCCUUUGGGGUGUGACUGCGUACCUUUUGUAUAAUGGGUCAGCGACUUAUAUUCUGUAGCAAGGUUAACCGUAUAGGGGAGCCGGAGGGAAACCGAGUCUUAAUUGGGCGUUAAGUUGCAGGGUAUAGACCCGAAACCCGGUGAUCUAGCCAUGGGCAGGUUGAAGGUUGGGUAACACUAACUGGAGGACCGAACCGACUAAUGUUGAAAAAUUAGCGGAUGACCUGUGGCUGGGGGUGAAAGGCCAAUCAAACCGGGAGAUAGCUGGUUCUCCCCGAAAGCUAUUUAGGUAGCGCCUCGUGAAUUCAUCUCCGGGGGUAGAGCACUGUUUCGGCUAGGGGGCCAUCCCGGCUUACCAACCCGAUGCAAACUGCGAAUACCGGAGAAUGUUAUCACGGGAGACACACGGCGGGUGCUAACGUCCGUCGUGAAGAGGGAAACAACCCAGACCGCCAGCUAAGGUCCCAAAGUCAUGGUUAAGUGGGAAACGAUGUGGGAAGGCCCAGACAGCCAGGAUGUUGGCUUAGAAGCAGCCAUCAUUUAAAGAAAGCGUAAUAGCUCACUGGUCGAGUCGGCCUGCGCGGAAGAUGUAACGGGGCUAAACCAUGCACCGAAGCUGCGGCAGCGACGCUGAUGCGUUGUUGGGUAGGGGAGCGUUCUGUAAGCCUGUGAAGGUGGCCUGUGAGGGUUGCUGGAGGUAUCAGAAGUGCGAAUGCUGACAUAAGUAACGAUAAAGCGGGUGAAAAGCCCGCUCGCCGGAAGACCAAGGGUUCCUGUCCAACGUUAAUCGGGGCAGGGUGAGUCGACCCCUAAGGCGAGGCCGAAAGGCGUAGUCGAUGGGAAACGGGUUAAUAUUCCCGUACUUGGUGUUACUGCGAAGGGGGGACGGAGAAGGCUAUGUUGGCCGGGCGACGGUUGUCCCGGUUUAAGCGUGUAGGUGUGUGUUCCAGGUAAAUCCGGUUCACUUUAACACUGAGGCGUGAUGACGAGGC
This 1392-nucleotide ribosomal RNA is filed under the name Salmonella enterica subsp. enterica serovar Montevideo. RNAcentral's name for it is "partial 23S ribosomal RNA". It matches the Rfam family "Bacterial large subunit ribosomal RNA", at positions 143 to 1575 of the family's 2925-position model. Lineage: Bacteria; Pseudomonadati; Pseudomonadota; Gammaproteobacteria; Enterobacterales; Enterobacteriaceae. The record is from RNAcentral.